AUCAACUGCUAGCAAUCCCACGUCCAUCCAUCCAUUCAUCAAUCUGAAGAAAAGUAGAAAAAAAACUAGCAGACCCACUCCCCAUCCCCUCGUCGCCUCCUUCCCUCCAGAUCGCCGCCGCCACCUCCCUCCCCAUCCGCUUGCCGCACCCGCCGCGGGUCCCACCCUCCCCGAACCAGCGCACAUUGCCGUUUGCUCCUCCACCUGCAGGCGAUGCCGAGCCCGCGGUCUCCCUCCCAAAGAUCGCUCCGGAGCCCGCUGUCCUCCUCCACCUACAGCAGGAGCAUGCAGGAGCAGCAGCGAGCCAGAUCCGGGCCUUGUCUAGGAGGUAGGCUUCUCCAAGCACGGGAGCAGACAUGGUGGCCAUGACGGGCAAAUCAGAGAGAAGCCGGCGCGACGGCUGGGAGACUGUCCGGACUGGAUCCCGCCAUCACCACAAGUCACCGCCUUGUCCGUGCACCAAACUGGCUGGAGCUUAUGGGAAUUCUGCUAUAUCCUUAACAAGUCAGGAAAAGUUAAAGAGAAAUUCUCCGGUAGCCUUGAGUUAAUUCCAGGUAAUCACUUUUAUUUAUAUUGUAUUCCAGGUAAUCACUUUUAUAUUCCAGGUAACAGGAGCAUAUGCAUGUUUCAUGGAUGCUCUUAUUGAUUUUCUAUUUCCUGCGAGGUCGAGAAAUCAAUUGCUGGAGAGUGUCGUUUUAUUCUACCGAUAAAUACACAUCUACACUCUCUAUCAAUUCAAGAAUUAGCUGUGUAUAUUUAUAUAUGGAUAAGCAUCAAAUGCAAAUUUUGUAUCCUUACUUUCAUGAUUCAUGUUUUCCAACAAAACUUUCUUGAUUCUUUAGAAUAAAUAUAUAUGAUAUUUCAAAAAAAUAGUACAGCACAAUAGCACACUAGUGUUGCUUCCUUUUUUAUAUCUGCCUCAUUGACUGUGUGACAGGAAAAUGACGCACCAAUCAAGGUUGGUUAGAGCAUGUCUGCAAAAUCGUCAGUGUAGUAUUUCAUACAUGUAACAUAAAUUGGAUCAUUCAUGUGUGUGAAAAGAACGCGUGUGUUGUGCUAUAGUACGCACAUGCGCAUGUUGUAGGAAAAUUCUCUCCUUUUGUUCUACUUGCGAUCCAUCCUUCUUCUCUGGCCAAAGCAUCUGCUCUCCCACCAUUCUCUUCUAUCCCCCUCUCUCACCCCAUGCAGCCUAAUAUUCUGCAUGUGCGUCCAUCCGUCCUCCCAGCUUGCAGCAAGGCCCGUUGGAGAGAUCUACAUUUUUUAGCUUCUUCAAACUCUUUUUAUAAGGAGCUUCUUCAUUCUUUAAUAUGGUUGUUUGUCAAAAAAUGGCUGCCAAGGGUAUAUAAAUGGCGAUGUAGCAUACAAUAAAUAAAAAUAUUCUUUCAAAUAUAUUACCUUUCGUAUGAAAUAUUGGAGUUGCCAUUCGGACUAGAAAACUUCAAGCGUACAUGAUACUAGCUAAUUCUACCCUUGAUGUGAUCAUAUAAUUUUUUGUUAUAUGUCCGUCAAUCAUCAACUAUCAUUUUUUCAUCCAUUUUGGAUAAAACCCACAGAUGAACCAUCAUGGACUGACAACUUAAGGAAUGAAUCGUUACCUGGAAUUAGCACCCCCGAAGACCAGACUCGAUGGGGGUAAGAUUGGUAUGUCGCACGUGCCUCAUAAUUGCUUUUCUGAAUCAGAAGUGGAUGUUUUAGAAUAUAAUUUGCUCAGUGUAGUUGAUGGUCUAAUCUCUUAUGAACUUAUUUGUUCUAUAGUGGCUCCAACCGGUGGAUUCAAGAAAUAUAUGCUACUUAAGUUUUGUGUAAGUUUGUAUUUUAGAGUAAAGGUUUGGAUAAUUGUAGAAAAUUUGACGUCUUGUGUACCUUAUUACUUUCAUAGUUAUAACUCCAAGAGCUAUACAUUUUCCAUGAAAAAACAUAGGUUGCAUUGUGUUUGUGAUGUUAUGACGUACCACCUUGCAGCGAUUCCACAUGGAUAAUACGGAAGAGCAUGCACCUAGAAACAAUGUGUUCGUAUUCUUCCGAAAAUGCUAGCAACUAAAUGCGUCAUCUGUAUAUAGCUGGUUGGCAAAAUGACAUGACCAUAUGUACAUCAUGUUGCCUUCUCUUCCUUCAUUUGUUAUGACAUAUAUUUGAGAAUGAAGUGUGCAGUUCAGUUUGUGGUUGUUAGUAAACAUCUAAAAUAUUAUAUGUUCACGCAAUUGUAUUUUGUUUCGAAACAUUACCAAAUGUAUGAUUUCAUUUCUCUACAGAAUACAUUUAUAUAUUUAAUAUACUUAGGAGUGUUAACGAAUGGAGGAACUUUGCUUCUUCAAAAGUCUAUGCAAAUAACUAUGUUACAUUUUGAUUUCUACAUGACCUUUUGGGAUAUAUGCCAAAGAAACUAUCAUUAUUGUCCGGGAUAAUAAAAACAGUACUAUGAUGGCAUUCAGUUAAUUCAAAUGUUAUAUGGGUACAUGGUUACACGAACAAAUUGUCCUGCUUACAUAAUAAUACACUUUCAAGAACUUGAUACAAAUUAUAUUAAUUUGUAGUUAGUUCUUUUUAUAAAUAAAAAAGAUUGCAAUUCAAGUUGUUCUAAUAAGUUAUCAUCUAAAUACUAGCCCGUGCGUCAGACGACUAGUUCUUUUAAUUUGGAAGUGUUCUCUUUGUUUGUGACGGUAGAUUUAAUCUCUUUCUUGUGUGUCUUAUUUCUUUAAUAAUAAGACAUGUACUUUUAGUUUAAUGAAAGGGAGACCAAAGGGAGCACGUUUGUGACAGUCGGUUUAAUCUCUUGCGUAUGUGGUGUUUUUUUUCUUCUAGGACGUGGUGAUUAUAGUCUAACGAAAGGGAGACCAAAGGGAGCACGUCUCCUCUAGAUUCUUUUUUUUCAUUUCAUAAGCAUAGAAGGAAAUACCAACGGGGUAGACGUUUCAUGUUUCGUCCUAUGGCUACAAAACAAUUACAUAUUAGUUGGACGGUUGGAAUUUUUUUACUUUCUAGGUUUAACAUGCAGUCGGUAUCAUUUUUUCUUGCACGCGGCAAUGGCAAGAGCAUAUUGUGGAGAGGAAGAGGAUCAGAAGAAACUUGUGGUUCUCAUCCAAUCUUUGUGGAACUCUCUUUAUGUGCAAUUGUGCACUUGUUGGGUCCUUUUUCUGUGUAUUUGCACUUGCAGAAGUAUUCUGUUGUGCACAUGUAAAAUUAUUUUGACGUGCCCUUGUUAGGCGUUGAACCUUAAUGCAUGGAGUCGUUGGAUGAUGUAUUCUAUAUGAUGUGGUAUGCUACUGAAAUAAAAUAUACAUUUUAUUUGCAA
Long non-coding RNA from Hordeum vulgare subsp. vulgare (domesticated barley), 3292 nucleotides. RefSeq lists it as uncharacterized. The record is from RefSeq and is a predicted model, not a curated record. NCBI's taxonomy places the organism in Eukaryota, Viridiplantae, Streptophyta, Magnoliopsida, Poales, Poaceae. The transcript has 2 exons.